Molecule: unclassified non-coding RNA, 622 nt
Filed under: Fusarium oxysporum 247
Lineage: Eukaryota; Fungi; Ascomycota; Sordariomycetes; Hypocreales; Nectriaceae
Description: sequence contains 18S rRNA gene, ITS1, 5.8S rRNA gene, ITS2, 28S rRNA gene
Rfam family: 5.8S ribosomal RNA (bases 267-420)
Source: RNAcentral
UGGCCCAGAGAGGUGGGCAACUACCACUCAGGGCCGGAAAGCUCUCCAAACUCGGUCAUUUAGAGGAAGUAAAAGUCGUAACAAGGUCUCCGUUGGUGAACCAGCGGAGGGAUCAUUACCGAGUUUACAACUCCCAAACCCCUGUGAACAUACCACUUGUUGCCUCGGCGGAUCAGCCCGCUCCCGGUAAAACGGGACGGCCCGCCAGAGGACCCCUAAACUCUGUUUCUAUAUGUAACUUCUGAGUAAAACCAUAAAUAAAUCAAAACUUUCAACAACGGAUCUCUUGGUUCUGGCAUCGAUGAAGAACGCAGCAAAAUGCGAUAAGUAAUGUGAAUUGCAGAAUUCAGUGAAUCAUCGAAUCUUUGAACGCACAUUGCGCCCGCCAGUAUUCUGGCGGGCAUGCCUGUUCGAGCGUCAUUUCAACCCUCAAGCACAGCUUGGUGUUGGGACUCGCGUUAAUUCGCGUUCCUCAAAUUGAUUGGCGGUCACGUCGAGCUUCCAUAGCGUAGUAGUAAAACCCUCGUUACUGGUAAUCGUCGCGGCCACGCCGUUAAACCCCAACUUCUGAAUGUUGACCUCGGAUCAGGUAGGAAUACCCGCUGAACUUAAGCAUAUCAAU